RNAcentral lists this ribosomal RNA (1688 nucleotides) under Salmonella enterica subsp. enterica serovar Typhimurium. RNAcentral describes it as "partial 23S ribosomal RNA". It matches the Rfam family "Bacterial large subunit ribosomal RNA", at positions 1 to 1636 of the family's 2925-position model. The record is from RNAcentral. Lineage: Bacteria; Pseudomonadati; Pseudomonadota; Gammaproteobacteria; Enterobacterales; Enterobacteriaceae.
GGGUUGUGAGGUUAAGCGACUAAGCGUACACGGUGGAUGCCCUGGCAGUCAGAGGCGAUGAAGGGCGUGCUAAUCUGCGAUAAGCGCCGGUAAGGUGAUAUGAACCGUUAUAACCGGCGAUACCCGAAUGGGGAAACCCAGUGUGAUUCGUCACACUAUCAUUAACUGAAUCCAUAGGUUAAUGAGGCGAACCGGGGGAACUGAAACAUCUAAGUACCCCGAGGAAAAGAAAUCAACCGAGAUUCCCCCAGUAGCGGCGAGCGAACGGGGAGGAGCCCAGAGCCUGAAUCAGCAUGUGUGUUAGUGGAAGCGUCUGGAAAGGCGCGCGAUACAGGGUGACAGCCCCGUACACAAAAGCGCAUGUGCUGUGAGCUCGAUGAGUAGGGCGGGACACGUGGUAUCCUGUCUGAAUAUGGGGGGACCAUCCUCCAAGGCUAAAUACUCCUGACUGACCGAUAGUGAACCAGUACCGUGAGGGAAAGGCGAAAAGAACCCCGGCGAGGGGAGUGAAAAAGAACCUGAAACCGUGUACGUACAAGCAGUGGGAGCACCCUUCGGGGUGUGACUGCGUACCUUUUGUAUAAUGGGUCAGCGACUUAUAUUCUGUAGCAAGGUUAACCGUAUAGGGGAGCCGGAGGGAAACCGAGUCUUAAUUGGGCGUUAAGUUGCAGGGUAUAGACCCGAAACCCGGUGAUCUAGCCAUGGGCAGGUUGAAGGUUGGGUAACACUAACUGGAGGACCGAACCGACUAAUGUUGAAAAAUUAGCGGAUGACCUGUGGCUGGGGGUGAAAGGCCAAUCAAACCGGGAGAUAGCUGGUUCUCCCCGAAAGCUAUUUAGGUAGCGCCUCGUGAAUUCAUCUCCGGGGGUAGAGCACUGUUUCGGCUAGGGGGCCAUCCCGGCUUACCAACCCGAUGCAAACUGCGAAUACCGGAGAAUGUUAUCACGGGAGACACACGGCGGGUGCUAACGUCCGUCGUGAAGAGGGAAACAACCCAGACCGCCAGCUAAGGUCCCAAAGUCAUGGUUAAGUGGGAAACGAUGUGGGAAGGCCCAGACAGCCAGGAUGUUGGCUUAGAAGCAGCCAUCAUUUAAAGAAAGCGUAAUAGCUCACUGGUCGAGUCGGCCUGCGCGGAAGAUGUAACGGGGCUAAACCAUGCACCGAAGCUGCGGCAGCGAACGUAUCACCCAAGACAACUUUACGGAGUUGACGAUUGACGGAGCGAAGCGACGUCAAAGCGUUCAUUAAAGUCGAGUUGGCUUAGGGAUACGUUCGUUGGGUAGGGGAGCGUUCUGUAAGCCUGUGAAGGUGUGUCGUGAGGCAUGCUGGAGGUAUCAGAAGUGCGAAUGCUGACAUAAGUAACGAUAAAGCGGGUGAAAAGCCCGCUCGCCGGAAGACCAAGGGUUCCUGUCCAACGUUAAUCGGGGCAGGGUGAGUCGACCCCUAAGGCGAGGCCGAAAGGCGUAGUCGAUGGGAAACGGGUUAAUAUUCCCGUACUUGGUGUUACUGCGAAGGGGGGACGGAGAAGGCUAUGUUGGCCGGGCGACGGUUGUCCCGGUUUAAGCGUGUAGGUGUGUGUUCCAGGUAAAUCCGGUUCACUUUAACACUGAGGCGUGACGACGAGGCACUACGGUGCUGAAGCAACAAAUGCCCUGCUUCCAGGAAAAGCCUCUAAGCAUCAGGUAACA